AUGGGCAGCUUGCUCCCUGAUGUUAGCGGCGGACGGGUGAGUAACACGUGGGUAACCUGCCUGUAAGACUGGGAUAACUCCGGGAAACCGGGGCUAAUACCGGAUGGUUGUUUGAACCGCAUGGUUCAAACAUAAAAGGUGGCUUCGGCUACCACUUACAGAUGGACCCGCGGCGCAUUAGCUAGUUGGUGAGGUAACGGCUCACCAAGGCAACGAUGCGUAGCCGACCUGAGAGGGUGAUCGGCCACACUGGGACUGAGACACGGCCCAGACUCCUACGGGAGGCAGCAGUAGGGAAUCUUCCGCAAUGGACGAAAGUCUGACGGAGCAACGCCGCGUGAGUGAUGAAGGUUUUCGGAUCGUAAAGCUCUGUUGUUAGGGAAGAACAAGUACCGUUCGAAUAGGGCGGUACCUUGACGGUACCUAACCAGAAAGCCACGGCUAACUACGUGCCAGCAGCCGCGGUAAUACGUAGGUGGCAAGCGUUGUCCGGAAUUAUUGGGCGUAAAGGGCUCGCAGGCGGUUUCUUAAGUCUGAUGUGAAAGCCCCCGGCUCAACCGGGGAGGGUCAUUGGAAACUGGGGAACUUGAGUGCAGAAGAGGAGAGUGGAAUUCCACGUGUAGCGGUGAAAUGCGUAGAGAUGUGGAGGAACACCAGUGGCGAAUC
RNAcentral lists this ribosomal RNA (666 nucleotides) under Bacillus sp. ARC299. Its description in RNAcentral is "bacterial SSU rRNA". It matches the Rfam family "Bacterial small subunit ribosomal RNA", at positions 71 to 721 of the family's 1533-position model. Lineage: Bacteria; Bacillati; Bacillota; Bacilli; Caryophanales; Bacillaceae. The record is from RNAcentral.